Biomphalaria glabrata is the source of this 643-nucleotide long non-coding RNA. RefSeq lists it as uncharacterized. The transcript is spliced from 4 exons. NCBI's taxonomy places the organism in Eukaryota, Metazoa, Mollusca, Gastropoda, Planorbidae. The record is from RefSeq and is a predicted model, not a curated record.
CUCUUUUGCAGACUGUGCCAAGGAAAAAAAGUGUGCUGUUUUCUUCAGUUGUUCAGCACUGCCGUACAGGCUGUUGGUUAUGUUGAGCUGUAGUGGAAGUAGGUCUGCCUAACGUGGAUUAGGAAGGGACAUUCAAAGAGGAUCUGUUUAACGGUUUCAUAAAGCCAGCUAGGUUGCCACUGUGACAUGGCUUCAGUCAUACAGUUAGGUUGCCUUUUUGUACUGCUGUUUGGCCAAUCUGUUCUGGCACAUUUUUAUUAUAGCAUACCCCUCAAUUAUGCAUUGCAUAGAAAACUAUCGAUUGACAGUAGGGCAAGAGCUUCAUAUUAUAGACCAUAUACACAUAGACAUAGAAAAAAUUUUGACCUUAGAAUGGAAGAAGGGACAGAAGUUAGACUGCGUUGCUCUAGGAAAGAUACAAUUAUUUGGAAGUUCUAUGACAGAGAGUUAUCACGUUGUGAUCAAGAUCAUUGUGAAAACUUGGAAAGAAAAGAUUAUGUGGCUACUGUUGUGGGCAAACAGUCUGGAUGGAAUUUUCAAUUCCUUACAGUAGAAAUGGUGUUUCAUGCCAAUCGCUCAGUCCAUAUAUAUUGUUUAGAUAAUUCGAAUUCUUGGCCAUCUAUAGAAUCAUGGUUUGUGUUUG